RNAcentral lists this transfer RNA (57 nucleotides) under Erinaceus europaeus (western European hedgehog). It matches the Rfam family "tRNA", at positions 9 to 63 of the family's 71-position model. Rfam says of the family: Transfer RNA (tRNA) molecules are approximately 80 nucleotides in length. Their secondary structure includes four short double-helical elements and three loops (D, anti-codon, and T loops). The record is from Rfam by way of RNAcentral. Lineage: Eukaryota; Metazoa; Chordata; Mammalia; Eulipotyphla; Erinaceidae.
GGCUCAGUUGGUAGAGCAUGAGACUCUUAAUCUCAGGGCCGUGGGUUCGUGCCCCAC